CCUACGGGAGGCAGCAGUGGGGAAUCUUCCGCAAUGGACGAAAGUCUGACGGAGCAACGCCGCGUGUACGACGAAGGCCUUCGGGUUGUAAAGUACUGUCUUCAGGGACGAACGGUAGUGGUGUAAAUAAUGCCUUUACAUGACGGUACCUGAGGAGGAAGCCCCGGCUAACUACGUGCCAACAGCCGCGGUAAUACGUAGGGGGCAAGCGUCGUCCGGAAUCAUUGGGCGUAAAGGGCGCGUAGGCGGAUAUUUAAGUCUGGUGUGAAAACCUAGGGCUCAACCCUGGGAGUGCAUCGGAAACUGGGUAUCUUGAGGACAGGAGAGGAGAGUGGAAUUCCACGUGUAGCGGUGAAAUGCGUAGAUAUGUGGAGGAACACCAGUGGCGAAGGCGACUUUCUGGACUGUAACUGACGCUGAGGCGCGAAAGCGUGGGGAGCACACAGGAUUAGAUACCCUGGUAGUCCACACUGUAAACGAUGAGUGCUAGGUGUAGAGGGUAUCGACCCCUUCUGUGCCGCAGUUAACACAAUAAGCACUCCGCCUGGGGAGUACGGCCGCAAGGUUGAAACUCAAAGGAAUUGACGG
RNAcentral lists this ribosomal RNA (588 nucleotides) under uncultured bacterium. RNAcentral's name for it is "bacterial SSU rRNA". It matches the Rfam family "Bacterial small subunit ribosomal RNA", at positions 338 to 916 of the family's 1533-position model. The record is from RNAcentral.